RNAcentral lists this ribosomal RNA (772 nucleotides) under Salmonella enterica subsp. enterica serovar Typhimurium. RNAcentral's name for it is "partial 23S ribosomal RNA". It matches the Rfam family "Bacterial large subunit ribosomal RNA", at positions 582 to 1269 of the family's 2925-position model. Lineage: Bacteria; Pseudomonadati; Pseudomonadota; Gammaproteobacteria; Enterobacterales; Enterobacteriaceae. The record is from RNAcentral.
CCCUUCGGGGUGUGACUGCGUACCUUUUGUAUAAUGGGUCAGCGACUUAUAUUCUGUAGCAAGGUUAACCGUAUAGGGGAGCCGGAGGGAAACCGAGUCUUAAUUGGGCGUUAAGUUGCAGGGUAUAGACCCGAAACCCGGUGAUCUAGCCAUGGGCAGGUUGAAGGUUGGGUAACACUAACUGGAGGACCGAACCGACUAAUGUUGAAAAAUUAGCGGAUGACCUGUGGCUGGGGGUGAAAGGCCAAUCAAACCGGGAGAUAGCUGGUUCUCCCCGAAAGCUAUUUAGGUAGCGCCUCGUGAAUUCAUCUCCGGGGGUAGAGCACUGUUUCGGCUAGGGGGCCAUCCCGGCUUACCAACCCGAUGCAAACUGCGAAUACCGGAGAAUGUUAUCACGGGAGACACACGGCGGGUGCUAACGUCCGUCGUGAAGAGGGAAACAACCCAGACCGCCAGCUAAGGUCCCAAAGUCAUGGUUAAGUGGGAAACGAUGUGGGAAGGCCCAGACAGCCAGGAUGUUGGCUUAGAAGCAGCCAUCAUUUAAAGAAAGCGUAAUAGCUCACUGGUCGAGUCGGCCUGCGCGGAAGAUGUAACGGGGCUAAACCAUGCACCGAAGCUGCGGCAGCGAACGUAUCACCCAAGACAACUUUACGGAGUUGACGAUUGACGGAGCGAAGCGACGUCAAAGCGUUCAUUAAAGUCGAGUUGGCUUAGGGAUACGUUCGUUGGGUAGGGGAGCGUUCUGUAAGCCUGUGAAGGUGUGUCGUGAGGC